Molecule: long non-coding RNA, 414 nt
Organism: Saccostrea echinata
Lineage: Eukaryota; Metazoa; Mollusca; Bivalvia; Ostreida; Ostreidae
Exons: 3
Source: RefSeq, a predicted model, not a curated record
CUAUUCAGCGGGAAACAUAUAUUUUUCUGCAGUAGCCUCUAUAUCAAGUCAAAGUUAUAUUGGAGUUGUACAUAGAAAGAGUUUUCUUCAUAAAACUUUGUUGUCCAACUUGCACAGACCAAAGGAUAUCGUUCUAUAUCCAUCAAAAGGAUUUUUAUACUGGUCAGAAACCGGAAGUACCAGAGAAAUAGGUAGAUCGUGCAUGGAUGGAACAUCACAAACCUACAUAGCAACAACAAAAAUUGGAGCCCCAACUGGUCUUGCAAUCGAUUUUACAUCCAAUAGACUUUACUGGACUGAUGGACCUAAAGAUCGUAUUGAGUACUCUGACUUAAAUGGAGGAAACAGACAUGUUUUGACAACAGAUAAAGACGCAUUUCCCAUUGGAAUUGUUGUUCAUGAACAAUAUCUCUA